RNAcentral lists this ribosomal RNA (1471 nucleotides) under metagenome. RNAcentral describes it as "bacterial LSU rRNA". It matches the Rfam family "Bacterial large subunit ribosomal RNA", at positions 1463 to 2925 of the family's 2925-position model. The record is from RNAcentral.
GAUGUGGGGACGGAGAAGGUUAGGUCAGCCAUCUGUUGGAAUAGGUGGUUUAAGCGUGUAGGUGUGCCCCUUAGGCAAAUCCGGGGGGCUUAGCAGAGGCGUGACGACGAGGUGCUACGGCACUGAAGUGAUUGAUACCAAGCUUCCAGGAAAAGCCACUAAGCUUCAGUCUAGAAUUGACCGUACCGCAAACCGACACAGGUGGGCAGGAUGAAAAUUCUAAGGCGCUUGAGAGAACUCAGGAGAAGGAACUCGGCAAAUUAACACCGUAACUUCGGGAGAAGGUGUGCCACGGUAGGUUGUAGAGCUUCGCGCUCGAAGGCCGAUGGGGUUGCAGUGAAAUGGUGGCUGCGACUGUUUAAUAAAAACACAGCUCUCUGCAAACACGAAAGUGGACGUAUAGGGAGUGACGCCUGCCCGGUGCCGGAAGGUUAAUUGAUGGGGUGCAAGCUCUUGAUCGAAGCCCCGGUAAACGGCGGCCGUAACAAUAACGGUCCUAAGGUAGCGAAAUUCCUUGUCGGGUAAGUUCCGACCUGCACGAAUGGCGUAACGAUGGCCACACUGUCUCCUCCUGAGACUCAGCGAAGUUGAAAUGUUUGUGAAGAUGCAAUCUCCCCGCGGCAAGACGGAAAGACCCCAUGAACCUUUACUGUAGCUUUGCAUUGGACUUUGAACCGGUCUGUGUAGGAUAGGUGGGAGACUAUGAAACCGGGACGCUAGUCUCGGUGGAGUCAACCUUGAAAUACCACCCUGGUUUGUUUGAGGUUCUAACCUUGAUCCGUGAAUCCGGAUCGGGGACCGUGCAUGGUGGGCAGUUUGACUGGGGCGGUCUCCUCCCAAAAGGUAACGGAGGAGUACGAAGGUACGCUUAGGGCGGUCGGACAUCGCCCAUAAAGUGCAAUGGCAAAAGCGUGCUUGACUGCGAGACCCACAAGUCGAGCAGGUGCGAAAGCAGGUCAUAGUGAUCCGGUGGUUCUGUAUGGAAGGGCCAUCGCUCAACGGAUAAAAGGUACUCUGGGGAUAACAGGCUUAUACCGCCCAAGAGUUCAUAUCGACGGCGGUGUUUGGCACCUCGAUGUCGGCUCAUCUCAUCCUGGGGCUGUAGCCGGUCCCAAGGGUAUGGCUGUUCGCCAUUUAAAGAGGUACGUGAGCUGGGUUUAAAACGUCGUGAGACAGUUUGGUCCCUAUCUGCCGUGGGCGCUGGAAAUUUGAAGGGGGCUGCUCCUAGUACGAGAGGACCGGAGUGGACGAACCUCUGGUGUACCGGUUAUGACGCCAGUCGUAUCGCCGGGUAGCUAUGUUCGGAAGAGAUAAACGCUGAAAGCAUCUAAGCGUGAAACUCGCCUUAAGAUAAGAUUUCCCGGAGUCUUGAACUCCUUAAAGGGUCGUCGAAGACCACGACGUUGAUAGGUCAGGUGUGGAAGCGCAGUAAUGCGUUAAGCUAACUGAUACUAAUUGCCCGUACGGCUCG